Molecule: transfer RNA, 64 nt
Filed under: Diaclina fagi
Lineage: Eukaryota; Metazoa; Arthropoda; Insecta; Coleoptera; Tenebrionidae
Description: tRNA-Phe
Source: RNAcentral
ACUUGGAUAGCUUAUAUUUAGAGCAUGAUAUUGAAGAUAUCAGGGAAGUCUUGACUUUCAAGUA